GGGGGCGUUAAGGUUUCGACGGGAUUGUUGAAGCCGGAGAAGCGGGUAGUGGAUUCUCGUUGGCCACUUUAAAAAACGAGAGUAAAAAAUAAACGCUAACAAUAACAGCGAAUUAGCUUUAGCUGCUUAAUAAAAGCAGCCGUCCUGCCUGGGAGGACCACGGCCCGGGACAGGGCGUCAGCAGUGGUGAACGUGACACGGUAAAGCUUUGAACCGUGCAUGACAAAUGAAGCUACUGAAGCUGCAAGCCUGUUCAUGGGCGUGCAGCGGAGGGAAUGUCAAAGCAUGAACUGCACC
Molecule: transfer-messenger RNA, 297 nt
Filed under: Clostridiaceae bacterium
Lineage: Bacteria; Bacillati; Bacillota; Clostridia; Eubacteriales; Clostridiaceae
Description: partial transfer-messenger RNA
Rfam family: transfer-messenger RNA
About the family: Bacterial tmRNA, also known as 10Sa RNA or SsrA, is named for its dual tRNA and mRNA-like properties. Its role is to liberate the mRNA from a stalled ribosome.
Source: RNAcentral